This 491-nucleotide ribosomal RNA is filed under the name uncultured bacterium. RNAcentral's name for it is "partial 16S ribosomal RNA". It matches the Rfam family "Bacterial small subunit ribosomal RNA", at positions 28 to 507 of the family's 1533-position model. The record is from RNAcentral.
GAUGAACGCUAGCUACAGGCUUAACACAUGCAAGUCGAGGGGAAACGACAUUGAAGCUUGCUUCGAUGGUCGUCGACCGGCGCACGGGUGAGUAACGCGUAUCCAACCUGCCUCUGACCAAGGGAUAACCCGUCGAAAGUCGGCCUAAUACCUUAUGCAGUCGUCGGAAGUCAUCUGAUGACGACGAAAGAUUUCAUCGGUGAGAGAUGGAGAUGCGUCUGAUUAGCUUGUUGGCGGGGUAACGGCCCACCAAGGCAACGAUCAGUAGGGGUUCUGAGAGGAAGGUCCCCCACAUUGGAACUGAGACACGGACCAAACUCCUACGGGAGGCAGCAGUGAGGAAUAUGAGUCAAUGGGCGGGAGCCUGAACCAGCCAAGUAGCGUGCAGGAUGACGGCCCUAUGGGUUGUAAACUGCUUUUAUGCGGGGAUAAAGUGAGGGACGUGUCCUUCACUGCAGGUACCGCAUGAAUAAGGACCGGCUAAUUCCGUG